CCGCCCGUAGCUCAGCGGUAGAGCAGCUCCCUUUUAAGGAGACGGUCGUAGGUUCGAUCCCUACCGGGCGGA
Molecule: transfer RNA, 72 nt
Filed under: Minisyncoccota bacterium
Lineage: Bacteria; Bacillati; Minisyncoccota
Description: tRNA-Lys
Rfam family: tRNA
About the family: Transfer RNA (tRNA) molecules are approximately 80 nucleotides in length. Their secondary structure includes four short double-helical elements and three loops (D, anti-codon, and T loops).
Source: RNAcentral